This 425-nucleotide ribosomal RNA is filed under the name uncultured bacterium. RNAcentral's name for it is "bacterial SSU rRNA". It matches the Rfam family "Bacterial small subunit ribosomal RNA", at positions 354 to 796 of the family's 1533-position model. The record is from RNAcentral.
GUGGGGAAUCUUAGACAAUGGGGGAAACCCUGAUCUAGCCAUGCCGCGUGAGCGAUGAAGGCCUUAGGGUUGUAAAGCUCUUUCAGCUGGGAAGAUAAUGACGGUACCAGCAGAAGAAGCCCCGGCUAACUCCGUGCCAGCAGCCGCGGUAAUACGGAGGGGGCUAGCGUUAUUCGGCAUUACUGGGCGUAAAGCGCACGUAGGCGGACCAGAAAGUUGGGGGUGAAAUCCCGGGGCUCAACCUCGGAACUGCCUUCAAAACUCCUGGUCUUGAGUUCGAGAGAGGUGAGUGGAAUUCCGAGUGUAGAGGUGAAAUUCGUAGAUAUUCGGAGGAACACCAGUGGCGAAGGCGGCUCACUGGCUCGAUACUGACGCUGAGGUGCGAAAGCGUGGGGAGCAAACAGGAUUAGAUACCCCUGUAGUCC